CAAGCGUGGAGCAUGUGGUUUAAUUCGAUGCAACGCGAAGAACCUUACCUGGUCUUGACAUAGUAAGAACUUUCCAGAGAUGGAUUGGUGCCUUCGGGAGCUUUACAUACAGGUGCUGCAUGGCUGUCGUCAGCUCGUGUCGUGAGAUGUUGGGUUAAGUCCCGCAACGAGCGCAACCCUUUUCCUUAUUUGCCAGCGGGUUAAGCCGGGAACUUUAAGGAUACUGCCAGUGACAAACUGGAGGAAGGCGGGGACGACGUCAAGUCCUCAUGGCCCUUAUGUCCAGGGCUACACACGUGCUACAAUGGGCGGUACAGAGUGUCGCAAUACCGCGAGGUAGAGCCAAUCACAAAAACCGCUCUCAGUUCGGAUUGGAGUCUGCAACUCGACUCCAUGAAGCUGGAAUCGCUAGUAAUCGCGGAUCAGCACGCCGCGGUGAAUACGUUCCCGGGCCUU
RNAcentral lists this ribosomal RNA (456 nucleotides) under uncultured Acinetobacter sp. Its description in RNAcentral is "bacterial SSU rRNA". It matches the Rfam family "Bacterial small subunit ribosomal RNA", at positions 926 to 1382 of the family's 1533-position model. The record is from RNAcentral. Lineage: Bacteria; Pseudomonadati; Pseudomonadota; Gammaproteobacteria; Moraxellales; Moraxellaceae.